CGCGCAGGCUGAGAGAGGUGGAUAAGGUAUCACCUUAGUGAAUAUAUAGCUUUGGUGAAGCGAACCCGGGGAACUGAAACAUCUCAGUACCCGGAGGAAAAGAAAUCAACCGAGAUUCCCGUAGUAGUGGCGAGCGAACCGGGACCAGGCCAGUGCCUUGUCGUAAAUUAGCAGAACAUUCUGGAAAGUUUGACCAUAGUGGGUGACAGUCCCGUAUGCGAAAAUGAUCGACAAGGACUUGAGUAGGGCGGGACACGUGAAAUCCUGUCUGAACGUGGGGGGACCACCCUCCAAGCCUAAAUACUCGUACAUGACCGAUAGCGAACACAGUACCGUGAGGGAAAGGUGAAAAGCACCCCGAUUAGGGGAGUGAAACAGUACCUGAAACCGGAUGCUUACAAGCAGUUGGAGCCCCAUAGGGGGUGACAGCGUACCUCUUGCAUAAUGGGUCAGUGACUUAAUCUAGCAUGCAAGCUUAAGCCGUUAGGUGUAGGCGAAGCGAAAGCGAGUCUGAAUAGGGCGACUGAGUAUGUUGGAUUAGACCCGAACCCCGGCGAUCUAGGCAUGACCAGGUUGAAGGUGCAGUAACAUGCACUGGAGGACCGAACCGUUGAAUGUUGAAAAAUUCUCGGAUGAGUUGUGUUUAGGGGUGAAAGGCCAAUCAAGCCGGGAAAUAGCUG
This 680-nucleotide ribosomal RNA is filed under the name uncultured bacterium. Its description in RNAcentral is "bacterial LSU rRNA". It matches the Rfam family "Bacterial large subunit ribosomal RNA", at positions 127 to 851 of the family's 2925-position model. The record is from RNAcentral.